AGCAAACUAGAAUAUUUGGUUUGAAACGACAGUGAAAACAAAAACAGAUGCCAGAUGAACACUGCGUAUCGGCGAAAUCGUUAAAGUCUACAGAGACCGCAUGGAAAAUACCACGUCGCGAACACGAGAAAUACACUGGCCGUGGAGACUGUCGAGCGACGAGCAAUAAUAAUUAUAACAACAUUGCAGGAUCUCAUUUUACAUUUAAUAAAUUGAUCGACUUAAAAGAAGAACAUAACUUGUUUCACAAAGUGUUUCAAUAUAUUAUAUUAUUAUGCGGAACACGAAAUAUUUCUCAUGACGAAUUGUAUUAUUCUGAUUUGAAGUAUUUUAACAUAAUACGAUUUAAAUAGAGGACUGAAAAUGAGAAUGCAUUGCUCGCCAUUUAUGUUACUGCUCGCAAUAUGGAUUUAGCCACAUGACAGUAAAUUUAUAUUUGGAUUGAAAUAGAAAACUGACACAAAGUCAAAUGUGGCAUAAUCUAAUUUUCUGUUUCGCGGUUGAGAGCUGAAAUGUUAAGAUUUAACAACAUUUAAAGGUUAACCGUCAAAUGGCCGAUGAUGGUGAAGGCAGAAGGGAUGGAUUAUGGACCGUGUAGGACGGAUUAUAAUAUUUAGAAAGUUUAUGAGGAAUGGAAAAGAAAUUUCAAUAAUGCACCAGUCAAAUUAUACUGCAGACACCCGCUGAUGUUUCUUUCAUUUUUUGAAAAGCAUUGAUUUUGACACGUACCUAUAUGCACUUUUACAGCGCCACGUCCAAAUGUAUCGCAAAGGCUGAAUAAUAAUUUGAAUUAUUGUUGACGGGAAACUAAAAAACACCUAAAUGUCGACACAUAUGAGUGCGGAAGAAUCGAAAACCAGCCCCGUACUAACUCUGAACUUCUAAAAAUGAAUUCGGGCUUGAUGUACUGACUAAGUGAAUAGUGAUCGACUUUUGUAAAUACACGGAAGCUUACGUAAAUUCAUCGACAAUCCAUCUUCGUUUCAACAAACACUUGCUAAAGAAAAUAUUGAAGAAGGUACCCAAGUCCGAAACGAACAUACAACUGGAGGCACCCAGGGGCCUGUCAAUUCUUUCCUCAAAGACAUCUCUGCAUACGCAUACGGAUUAUAAUAUUAUCAUGUACGCGUCGAGAAAAAUGUGCUGUGAACGCUCCGUCGUUGACUGUGACGUCGACGACAACCCUCGGAGGGGGUUCGCCCCAAAAUCCCUUAUUUUCUGCGCGCUUUGUGGGGUAAUGGUGGACGAAACCCACACGCGCACCACACCGCAUCGGAGACCUCGACAACAUCGCUGCGGCAAGUCGAUCUCCGAGGCAGCGACCCCGUUGCAAAGUCCGCAGGGACGACGCGACGGCACACAUAAUAGUGUUAUUAUUAUAUAUAGCAGGAUGUAAAAU
Aphis gossypii (cotton aphid) is the source of this 1399-nucleotide long non-coding RNA. RefSeq lists it as uncharacterized. The transcript is spliced from 8 exons. The record is from RefSeq and is a predicted model, not a curated record. NCBI's taxonomy places the organism in Eukaryota, Metazoa, Arthropoda, Insecta, Hemiptera, Aphididae.